CGGGAUAUAGCGCAGUUUGGUAGCGCGCCUGCUUUGGGAGCAGGACGUCGCAGGUUCAAGUCCUGCUAUCCCGA
Molecule: transfer RNA, 74 nt
Filed under: Gracilaria urvillei
Lineage: Eukaryota; Rhodophyta; Florideophyceae; Gracilariales; Gracilariaceae
Description: tRNA-Pro
Rfam family: tRNA
About the family: Transfer RNA (tRNA) molecules are approximately 80 nucleotides in length. Their secondary structure includes four short double-helical elements and three loops (D, anti-codon, and T loops). Further hydrogen bonds mediate the characteristic L-shaped molecular structure. tRNAs have two regions of fundamental functional importance: the anti-codon, which is responsible for specific mRNA codon recognition, and the 3' end, to which the tRNAs corresponding amino acid is attached (by aminoacyl-tRNA synthetases). tRNAs cope with the degeneracy of the genetic code in two manners: having more than one tRNA (with a specific anti-codon) for a particular amino acid; and 'wobble' base-pairing, i.e. permitting non-standard base-pairing at the 3rd anti-codon position.
Source: RNAcentral